RNAcentral lists this transfer RNA (73 nucleotides) under Canis lupus familiaris (dog). It matches the Rfam family "tRNA". Rfam says of the family: Transfer RNA (tRNA) molecules are approximately 80 nucleotides in length. Lineage: Eukaryota; Metazoa; Chordata; Mammalia; Carnivora; Canidae. The record is from Rfam by way of RNAcentral. RNAcentral also lists the same sequence under 1 other name.
GCCUAGCUAGCUCAGUCAGAAGAGCAUGUGACUUUUGAUCUUGGGGUAAUGGGUUUGAGCCUUAUGUUGGGUG